This 483-nucleotide ribosomal RNA is filed under the name Nematoda environmental sample. RNAcentral describes it as "SSU rRNA". It matches the Rfam family "Eukaryotic small subunit ribosomal RNA", at positions 92 to 570 of the family's 1831-position model. Lineage: Eukaryota; Metazoa; Nematoda. The record is from RNAcentral.
AAUGGCUCAUUACAACAGCCACUGUUUACUUGAUCUUGACUAUCUUACUGGGAUAACUGUGGUAAUUCUAGAGCUAAUACACGCAUGAAAGCUCUGACCUCACGGGAGGAGCGCAUUUAUUAGAACAAAACCAAUCGGGCUCUCGGGCCCGCACAUUGGUGAAUCUGAAUAACUUUGCAGAUCGCAUGGUCUUCGCACCGGCGACGUAUCUUUCAAAUGUCUGCCUUAUCAACUUUAGAUGGUAGUUUACACGCCUACCAUGGUUGUAACGGGUAACGGAGAAUAAGGGUUCGACUCCGGAGAGGGAGCCUGAGAAAUGGCUACCACAUCCAAGGAAGGCAGCAGGCACGCAAAUUACCCACUCCCGGCACGGGGAGGUAGUGACGAAAAAUAACGAGGCGGUUCUCUCUGAGGCCCGCCAUCGGAAUGGGUACAAUUUAAAUCCUUUAACGAGGAUCUAUUGGAGGGCAAGUCUGGUGCCAG